This 208-nucleotide long non-coding RNA is filed under the name Elaeis guineensis (African oil palm). Its description in RNAcentral is "long non-coding RNA (EGUI_LNC073663)". The record is from RNAcentral. Lineage: Eukaryota; Viridiplantae; Streptophyta; Magnoliopsida; Arecales; Arecaceae.
UAUAGGCACAGAAGCAUACUACUUGACAAAAACCUUCCUCGCUGCAUUCUCCAUCAAUGAAGAGAGACACCCAAAGACACGAUUAAAGACACGAUCAGAAACAUGCGGUACAAUCUCCUCAAUCUGAUCCUCAGCAAGUCGAACAGUGGAUGAAGAUGCAGUAGGCUCAAGAUGCUAUAGCACAGGCUCUGGCACAUCUCUUUCUUCC